Balaenoptera ricei (Rice's whale) is the source of this 2359-nucleotide RNA transcript. It is a transcript of the gene named sperm associated antigen 8, with no coding region annotated. Lineage: Eukaryota; Metazoa; Chordata; Mammalia; Artiodactyla; Balaenopteridae. The transcript is spliced from 7 exons. The record is from RefSeq and is a predicted model, not a curated record.
UCCCCCUUGACUAUGGUCUGAGACACUAAGGAGGCCCAUCCUGUAGUUAAAGGAGCAUUUGCCUAUAUAUCUGAGAGCUUAGGACUCAUGGUCUACCUGGGUCAGGCCUCUAGAAAAGUAGCAGUAGGAAUAAGCCUGAAUGAGUAGGAAGAGACUGAGUCCCAGGACUUGCUUAAUUCAGAUGCCAAACCAUGUUCUAAGGGGGUCUGGAAGGAGGAUUGUCAAUGUGAAGGCCUUUUAUUGAAAGAGAAGUAAUCACACCAAAAAAGUCGCUACCCUUUGACUAUUUCCCAUGUCUCACCAUUUUGCUUUUAAGCUGUGUCUGAUGUCUUUUCAUCCUUAAAAUUUUUGAAAAGAUGCCCCCACUUUUGAGAAUGAACUACUGUUGCCCCAACAUAAACAUACCAAGUAGACUUUCAUCUGACAUAACGGCUCUGUGCCUGUUCAACGCAAAGAACCACCUUAGAAAGCCUCAGUAAGCCCUGCUUAGGUAUGGAGGUCGAGGCCUUAGGCCAGCGGAACCUUAAAAGCCGGGCUGAGGCGGAAGGGAGGCCGGACGGAAGGCAGACUUCCCAAACUACGCCAGGUGCAAGACUUCCGCCCCGCAGAGACCUUGCCUCCACCCCCACCCUCCCCGUCAGCCCAGAUCUGGUUCCGCGCAGUCUCCUGGAAUGAUUUGCCGUCUCUAUGGCAACCCGGUAGCUGGCUUCUGAAGAUGGAGACCACUGAGUCUACCGAGGGAUCACAGUCGCGAUCUUUAGACGUACAGCCCAGCUCCGAAGGACUAGGGUCCAUUUCGGAUCCCUUUCCUUCUUGGGAUGGCUGUCAUAGGUCAGCCCUGGAAGCUGCAACCGCAGAAACUUCAGCAGCUGCUGCAGCCACUGCAGCCGCCUCCACUACCAAAGCAGCUGCAUUAUCUACAAAGACCCCAGCGCCCUACUCUGAACGGAGCCUUCUCAUGGAGCCCUCCUCUGAAAGUCUUCUUGGGGAGCGCUACACUGGACCCAGAUUUACCCACAAGAUAGGCCACGGGAGACUUGGCUUUGAGCCUGUCUCUGUUUCCCAUAUUGCUUGGAAUCCCUAUACUGCAAAUGACCUUAGCUCUAGCCAUGGUCCUGUUCCUGGCUCCAGCUCUGGCCCUGUUCCUGGCUCCAGCUCUGGCCCUGUUCCUGGCUCCAGCUCUGGCCCUGUUCCUGGCUCCAGCUCUAGCCCUGGUCUUGGCUUCAGCUCUGACCCUGGUCCUGGCUCCAGUUCUGGUCCUGGCAGUGGCUCUGGUCAAGGUCCUGGUGACGGCUCUGGUCGAGGCACUGGUCCUGCUCCUGCCGCUGAUUCUAGGCAUAGGCCAGGCUCUGGCCAGGGCCCUGGUUUCAGCUCCUCUGCUCCUUCAGGCUUCAGAAAACCCAGGGCAGAUCUGCUCCCUAAUUAUGCCUCCUGGAGUCACCACAGCCACUGGGAGCCUCAGAAACAACCCUGGAAAUUUUUGCAAGUCUCAGAACCUGGUGCCCGAGGGCUGUGGAAGCCCCCUGAGGUUGAAGGGACAAGUAAGGUUCUCAGUGAAACACUGCCACGGGGCCAGUGCCUUCUCUACAACUGGGAGGAGGAGAGAGCCACCAACCACCUGGAUCAAGUCCCAAGCAUGCAGGAUGGCUCUGAGAGUUUCUUUUUCCGACACGGACACCGGGGACUGCUGACCCUGGAGCCACAGUCACCCAUGUGCUCCAGCACCACCCAGAAAGACUCAUACCAGCCCCCAGGAAACCACUCUCAGCCAAUUCGAGGGAAGCGUGAAGCCAUGCUGGAGAUGCUCUUGCACCACCAGAUCUGCCUCACGACUACCAUAAGGAACAGCCUGAAACCUUCUGGCUACAGAGGGCACCACAGCUACAGCACCUGGCGAAUACUCUACAAAUGUCUGCUGAAUGGACACCCUGUCUGCAACAGGACACGGUCAAAUAGCCUCUGCUGUCAGGAAAUGGGAAGCAAGACAACAGGGCUGCCCUGAAGAGCACAGAAGCUGGUGGGGACGUCAACGAGGCCCAAUGAAAUGAGCCUCAGACAGCCUGAAGGGUCAAAGGGGACAUGGGUUCGAGCCCUGAUCCAGGAAGGUCCCACAUGCCGGGAAGCAACUAAGCCCGUGCGCCACAACUACUGAGCCUGUGCUCUAGAGCCCGCGAGCCACAACUACUGAAGCCCGCGCGCCUAGAGCCCGUGCUCCGCAACAAGAGAAGCCAGCACAAUGAGAAGCCUGUGCACCGCAACAAAGAGCAGCCCCCGCUCACCACAACUAGAGAAAGCCCGCGUGCAACAAAGACCCAACGCAGCUAAAAAUAAAAUAAAUAAAUUUAUUUUUUUAAAAAAG